This 202-nucleotide long non-coding RNA is filed under the name Elaeis guineensis (African oil palm). RNAcentral describes it as "long non-coding RNA (EGUI_LNC001663)". The record is from RNAcentral. Lineage: Eukaryota; Viridiplantae; Streptophyta; Magnoliopsida; Arecales; Arecaceae.
ACCCACCAUGUGGAUCUCAAGGUACUCUAAACUCUUUUAGUCAUCUAUCUAUGUAAAUUUCAAAGCAUCCUUGGUAUAUGACCCAUAGUUAACAAUCACUCUCUGCAUAGAUUUCGAAGCACUCUGAACUUUAUUCAUCUACUUAUAGAGAUCUCAAAGCAUUCUUAGUAUAUAUGACUCAUAGUUAAGGAUCAUCGGUACA